This 318-nucleotide ribosomal RNA is filed under the name uncultured Acidisphaera sp. Its description in RNAcentral is "bacterial SSU rRNA". It matches the Rfam family "Bacterial small subunit ribosomal RNA", at positions 601 to 918 of the family's 1533-position model. The record is from RNAcentral. Lineage: Bacteria; Pseudomonadati; Pseudomonadota; Alphaproteobacteria; Acetobacterales; Acetobacteraceae.
CCCGGGGCUCAACCUCGGAAUUGCCUUCAAUACUGGCUGUCUUGAGUAUGGGAGAGGUGAGUGGAACUCCGAGUGUAGAGGUGAAAUUCGUAGAUAUUGGGAAGAACACCGGUGGCGAAGGCGGCGACCUGGUCCAUAACUGACGCUGAGGCGCGAAAGCGUGGGGAGCAAACAGGAUUAGAUACCCUGGUAGUCCACGCUGUAAACGAUGUGUGCUGGAUGUUGGGCGACCUAGUCGCUCAGUGUCGUAGCUAACGCGAUAAGCACACCGCCUGGGGAGUACGGCCGCAAGGUUGAAACUCAAAGAAAUUGACGGGA